This 947-nucleotide long non-coding RNA is filed under the name Ricinus communis (castor bean). RNAcentral describes it as "long non-coding RNA (RCOM_LNC001375)". The record is from RNAcentral. Lineage: Eukaryota; Viridiplantae; Streptophyta; Magnoliopsida; Malpighiales; Euphorbiaceae.
UAUGGGUCUGGGUACCCGUCCGGCCCGCCGAGGCCCGCAAUUUUCGUAUCGGGCUUAGACAACAAUUUUUGUGUACGAGUCCGGCCCGGCCCGAACCUACAAAAAGCCCAUACUCCUUUGGCCGGGCUUGGGAUUUAUAUAAAAACUCAAGCCCGGCUCGGCCCGAUGUCUAGUUUAAUUGGAAAAAAAGAAAUGUCACUUGUGACUUUUAACUUAUAAUUAAGUGCUAUAUACCAUUUAGCUACUUAUUAUUAUUGUUUAUAAUUUUAUUGUUAUUAAUAUAUAUUAAACAAAACAAAACCCUAAAUCUAAAUGUAAUUGCAAUUGGACAGAUUUAAUAAUUGGUCAGGCCGGGCUAGAUUUUAAAAAAAAAAAUUGGACUCGAAUUUGAGCUCAGAAAUAUUAAAAAAUUUCCAAACUUGGGUGGGCUCGAGCUUAUCCAAAGUCAAGUCAGGCCCGGCCCAUAAACAGAUCUAGCUGUUUUAUAUGUCUUUCCAAUCAUUCUAAGGCAUAUGAAAAGUAAAAAGAUUAAUUUCCCUUCUUUUUGUUUUGGCUUAUUCUCUUGUGUGAAAAAGAAAGAAAGAAAAGAAAUAGCAUACCUAAUGGAAUGAUAGAGAUAGUCAAAGGAAGUGUGAGCAUAGCUUUCCUCCCAUACUGAUCCGACAGAUUCCCAAUUAGAGGUGUAAUCACAACCGAUCCCACUCCUAUCAUCUGCAAUCAAAUAUAAUUCUCUUCAUACUAAUAAUCAACUAACUAAUGUUGAUAAUUAAUUAAAUAAGCUAUUACUUUUUCUUUUAAAAAAAAGUUUAUUCAUAACAUAUAAUUUAAUAUUUAAUUAUACUUAGUUAAGCCUUAUCCAUCUAAAAUUUAAAAUUUAAAAGAAAAAUGUGUGUUCUACGAUCAUUAUUAAUUAAUUUAAUUAUAAAUUAAAUUGAAAGAUAUAAUUU